UACAGAGGGUGCAAGCGUUGCUCGGAAUUACUGGGCGUAAAGCGUGUGUAGGCGGUCCUAAAAGUGGGGUGUGAAAGCCCUGGGCUCAACCCAGGAACUGCGCCCCAAACUGCAGGACUUGAGUGUCGGAGAGGAUAGUGGAAUUCCCAGUGUAGAGGUGAAAUUCGUAGAUAUUGGGAGGAACACCAGUGGCGAAGGCGGCUAUCUGGACGAACACUGACGCUGAGACACGAAAGCGUGGGGAGCAAACAGG
RNAcentral lists this ribosomal RNA (253 nucleotides) under uncultured bacterium. RNAcentral describes it as "partial 16S ribosomal RNA". It matches the Rfam family "Bacterial small subunit ribosomal RNA", at positions 524 to 776 of the family's 1533-position model. The record is from RNAcentral.